RNAcentral lists this long non-coding RNA (689 nucleotides) under Homo sapiens (human). RNAcentral's name for it is "HSALNT0274338". Lineage: Eukaryota; Metazoa; Chordata; Mammalia; Primates; Hominidae. The record is from RNAcentral.
CUGGAGAGGCCACGGGGAGCCACUGCAUCCUGGAAGAGUUGAGUGUGGUAGCCUGAGCCCUGGCCUUGAUUCUGCGACCUCGGGUGUGAACUCACCAGGUAGAAGACGGGGACGCUGGCAGGGACGCAGACCGUGCCUGAGCCGGCCUUCCUGUGUGGGCCCAGAUACCGGCUCAGGUCCCACCUCCCCUGGUGCUGUCCACACCAGGACAGCAGAAGCCUCAUGCCUGGUCCCCAGGGAUACGGUUCUGAAUCAAAACCUCUCACGGCACAUCGAAUUGAGCCUGACCAACGCCUGGGUCCUGGCAGUGGAGGCUGGGAGGAGAGUGUCUGGGAUUCUGUCCGGGGAGGCAGGGCUGUCACUGUGGGGAGCUAUGAACAUGGAUGGGGCUUGCUGAAGAGGGUCCCACCCCUGAGGACUUUGCAGCCUGGGCUGGCAGCCCUGAAUGAUACGGGGGACACCUGCAGGGGCCGCACCCCUGCAUAGACUGCAGUUAAUUCUGGGUUAAGCAAAGCCUGUGUUUCCCACACGGGCCCAGCUUCUGAUGUCUGGAAAGAUGAGGACCCGCACUUGCUUCCAUCAGCAGCAUGUCCUGUGCACACGAAGGUUGCACCGUCCUAAAAACACCACUGCGAUGACGAUCUGAGCUUUUAAGUGUCUCCUGCUGUCUGCAGCACGUUGAGCAGAAC